AGGCGCCAUCGACUUCGGAGAAGAGAAUAAGUGAUUAGGGCAAAUCUUUGAAAGAUAUGGAAACUUCCAUAAAUGUCGGGAACAAUCGUCUGGCUGUUCCUAGUGGGAUCAACUGUCAGACUGCUCCUCUCGAUUUUUCCGCCGGGAAAGACUCCAAUUCUUACUCCUUUCUUCACUCUUCUUCCUUCAGCUCUUCAUCCUUCAGCUCUUCAGUCUAUUCCAGACCUGAAAUGACUCUAAAAGGACUGGACUAACUCGAUAAACAUUGAAAACAAGUUAAAAAACAUAUACACAAUGGUGUCAAAAACACAAUAUAUCAAAAGCCUCCUCAAUAGUAGGAAUAUGCUUCAGCAUCAAGAUAAGACGACGUGACUGCUCAUACGAUUCAUUAAGUCUCAUUAAUAAUUUGGUAAUUAUACUCCUCUGUUGUAGUUUCUCCCACAAUGCAACUGCAUUACAUUCACAGCGCCACAAA
RNAcentral lists this long non-coding RNA (475 nucleotides) under Brassica napus (rape). RNAcentral describes it as "long non-coding RNA (BNAP_LNC009726)". The record is from RNAcentral. Lineage: Eukaryota; Viridiplantae; Streptophyta; Magnoliopsida; Brassicales; Brassicaceae.